This 447-nucleotide ribosomal RNA is filed under the name [Eubacterium] yurii. Its description in RNAcentral is "bacterial SSU rRNA". It matches the Rfam family "Bacterial small subunit ribosomal RNA", at positions 28 to 459 of the family's 1533-position model. The record is from RNAcentral. Lineage: Bacteria; Bacillati; Bacillota; Clostridia; Peptostreptococcales; Filifactoraceae.
GAUGAACGCUGGCGGCGUGCCUAACACAUGCAAGUCGAACGAAGUAUAUAUAGGAAGUCUUCGGAUGGAAUAUGUAUAACUUAGUGACGGACGGGUGAGUAACGCGUAAGUAAUCAACCUGUGACACACGGAUAACUGAUAGAAAUGUCAGCUAAUACGAGAUGAACUGUUUAAAUUGGGAAAUGGAAACAGCAAAGCGAAAGCGGUCACAGACGAGCUUGCGUCUGAUUAGCUAGUUGGUGGGGUAAGAGCCUACCAAGGCGACGAUCAGUAGCCGGCCUGAGAGGGUGAACGGCCACAUUGGAACUGAGACACGGUCCAAACUCCUACGGGAGGCAGCAGUGGGGGAUAUUGCACAAUGGGGGGAACCCUGAUGCAGCAACGCCGCGUGAGUGAAGAAGGCCCUAGGGUCGUAAAGCUCUGUCGUAUGGGAAGAAAAAAAUGACU